GACGAACGCUGGCGGCGUGCUUAACACAUGCAAGUCGAACGGAAAGGCCCUGCUUUUGUGGGGUGCUCGAGUGGCGAACGGGUGAUUAACACGUGAGUACCCUGCCCUUGCCUUUGGGAUAACUUCAGGAAACUGGGGCUAAUACCGGAUAGGAGCUCCUGCUGCAUGGUGGGGGUUGGAAAGUUUCGGCGGUUGGGGAUGGACUCGCGGCUUAUCAGCUUGUUGGUGGGGUAGUGGCUUACCAAGGCUUUGACGGGUAGCCGGCCUGAGAGGGUGACCGGCCACAUUGGGACUGAGAUACGGCCCAGACUCCUACGGGAGGCAGCAGUGGGGAAUAUUGCACAAUGGGCGGAAGCCUGAUGCAGCAACGCCGCGUGCGGGAUGACGGCCUUCGGGUUGUAAACCGCUUUCGCCUGUGACGAAGCGUGAGUGACGGUAAUGGGUAAAGAAGCACCGGCUAACUACGUG
RNAcentral lists this ribosomal RNA (468 nucleotides) under uncultured bacterium. Its description in RNAcentral is "partial 16S ribosomal RNA". It matches the Rfam family "Bacterial small subunit ribosomal RNA", at positions 28 to 507 of the family's 1533-position model. The record is from RNAcentral.